RNAcentral lists this ribosomal RNA (628 nucleotides) under uncultured Lachnospiraceae bacterium. Its description in RNAcentral is "bacterial SSU rRNA". It matches the Rfam family "Bacterial small subunit ribosomal RNA", at positions 61 to 702 of the family's 1533-position model. Lineage: Bacteria; Bacillati; Bacillota; Clostridia; Lachnospirales; Lachnospiraceae. The record is from RNAcentral.
GUCGAACGAGCGAGAGAGAGCUUGCUUUCUCGAGCGAGUGGCGAACGGGUGAGUAACGCGUGAGGAACCUGCCUCAAAGAGGGGGACAACAGUUGGAAACGACUGCUAAUACCGCAUAAGCCCACGGUGCCGCAUGGUACAGAGGGAAAAGGAGCAAUCCGCUUUGAGAUGGCCUCGCGUCCGAUUAGCUAGUUGGUGAGGUAACGGCCCACCAAGGCGACGAUCGGUAGCCGGACUGAGAGGUUGAACGGCCACAUUGGGACUGAGACACGGCCCAGACUCCUACGGGAGGCAGCAGUGGGGAAUAUUGCACAAUGGGGGAAACCCUGAUGCAGCGACGCCGCGUGGAGGAAGAAGGUCUUCGGAUUGUAAACUCCUGUUGUUGGGGAAGAUAAUGACGGUACCCAACAAGGAAGUGACGGCUAACUACGUGCCAGCAGCCGCGGUAAAACGUAGGUCACAAGCGUUGUCCGGAAUUACUGGGUGUAAAGGGAGCGCAGGCGGGAAGACAAGUUGGAAGUGAAAUCUAUGGGCUCAACCCAUAAACUGCUUUCAAAACUGUUUUUCUUGAGUAGUGCAGAGGUAGGCGGAAUUCCCGGUGUAGCGGUGGAAUGCGUAGAUAUCGGGA